GAAAAGGACCAAAAAUCCCAAGCAAGGCCUCCAGGAUGUGCCCAAAAAAUCAAAUUUAUGGCAAACCAUGUUAGGACCAAGAGUAAUGCUAAACAUGCCAAGUUUGUGGAAAAUAAGGAUUUGAAUUUGUAGGCUAGAGUGAAAUCCCAGAGGCUUUCAAUGUCUGUUUUCAUAAUUGGGUAAUUUGAGGUUAAGAAUGAACUAGGUAGACACUAGACAUUGAGAAAGGCAGUUUGCUUUUGAGAUGUGGAAUGAGGUUUCCCGAUUUAUAUAGGGAAGAGAGCAAGUGAAAAUUUGAAGAAACAUAGGAUUGAUUAACAGUAGUAUUGUAGGACCACCUUUGACCUUAAAAUUAUCUUUACGUAAGUAU
This 370-nucleotide long non-coding RNA is filed under the name Olea europaea subsp. europaea. The record is from RNAcentral. Lineage: Eukaryota; Viridiplantae; Streptophyta; Magnoliopsida; Lamiales; Oleaceae.